CAUAGGACUUGACGCACGGAGCCGCUCAAUCCAUCUGGAAGACAUCCGUCACUUCCAGUAUAUGUUAUUAAUGCAAGAAACGCGUACUUUCCUAUCUGUUAAAAACCGCCAAAAUGUUGAAUUUGUGCUCUGAAAAAAAUUGUGGAAGUUGGGGUAAGUGUGAGAGACAUGUACCCAACAUUAGAAUUCCAAACGUGAAAUGAAAUGUAGGUAAAGAGAAGCGAGAAUUGAAGGGACAACAGCAGCUAAAGUGCUUGGUAAACAUUGGCUGUGCAGAUAUCGUAAUUGAAAAUAUUGGAAUUAUCGUGUUUGCUCACUGCAUUUCAUCAACAGUAAGGCAUUAUUCGUGUUUUUUCUUGAUUCCUUUGGUAUCUAAAAAUUCUCAGAAGUGAUAAAUCUGGCUGUAAAUUUUUCUUCAGAUGCGUUUUCAUUUUGUACGUAAAAACCCACUUGAGAACCAUGGGCGAUUUAAAAAAAAAAAAAAAAUACAGCCAGAUUUAUCACUUCUGAAACUUUUUAGAUGCCAAAGGAAUCAAGAAAAAACACAAAUAAUGCUUUAGUGUUGAUGAAAUGCAGUGAGCAAACGGCCAAUGUUCGCUAAGCACUCUGUCUGUUGUCCCUUCAGCUCUCACUUAUAUCGACCAUCAUUUCUCCUCACUUUUGGAAUUCUGAAGUAGGCUAAAUGUCUCACAUGCUCAUCCCGAUUUCCAUAAUUAUUUGCAGCGCAAAAAUGGACAUUUUCGGCGGGUUUUAACGGACCCGCUACGUUCAGAUUCAGAUUCAGAUUCAACUUUAAUUGUCGUUGUCAGUGUACAGUACAGAGACAACGAAAAGCGUUUAGCAUCUCCCUGGAAGAUGGAGUUGGAAACAAUGGAAAUAGUCAUCAAGAGGCAGUGAGCAGCAGAACACAACAAGACGCAACAAGACACAACAAGUAAAAACUUAAUAAAUCUCAUCUUUAAAAUUUAAAUUGUUCUUAUAUUUUAAGAGUCAUUCACAUUUUAAACUUUAAUAAAACCUUUUUGCACUUUUAA
Leucoraja erinaceus (little skate) is the source of this 1034-nucleotide long non-coding RNA. RefSeq lists it as uncharacterized. The record is from RefSeq and is a predicted model, not a curated record. The transcript has 2 exons. NCBI's taxonomy places the organism in Eukaryota, Metazoa, Chordata, Chondrichthyes, Rajiformes, Rajidae.